Molecule: ribosomal RNA, 253 nt
Filed under: uncultured bacterium
Lineage: Bacteria
Description: partial 16S ribosomal RNA
Rfam family: Bacterial small subunit ribosomal RNA
Source: RNAcentral
UACGGAGGGGGCUAGCGUUGUUCGGAAUUACUGGGCGUAAAGCGCGCGUAGGCGGACCUGCAAGUCGGGGGUGAAAGCCCGAGGCUCAACCUCGGAAUUGCCUUCGAUACUGCGGGUCUCGAGUCCGGGAGAGGUGAGUGGAAUUCCUAGUGUAGAGGUGAAAUUCGUAGAUAUUAGGAAGAACACCAGUGGCGAAGGCGGCUCACUGGCCCGGUACUGACGCUGAGGCGCGAAAGCUGGGGGAGCAAACGGG